Molecule: ribosomal RNA, 212 nt
Filed under: uncultured bacterium
Lineage: Bacteria
Description: partial 16S ribosomal RNA
Rfam family: Bacterial small subunit ribosomal RNA
Source: RNAcentral
AACUGAGACACGGUCCAAACUCCUACGGGAGCCACCAGUUAGGAAUAUUGGUCAAUGGGCGAGACCUUGAACCAGCCAAGUCGCGUGAAGGAAGAAGGUUCUAUGGAUUGUAAACUUCUUUUGUAAGGGAAUAAAGUUCGCUACGAGUAGCGUUUUGUAAGUACCUUGCGAAUAAGGAUCGGCUAACUCCGUGCCAGCAGCCGCGGUAAUAC